RNAcentral lists this ribosomal RNA (254 nucleotides) under uncultured bacterium. RNAcentral describes it as "partial 16S ribosomal RNA". It matches the Rfam family "Bacterial small subunit ribosomal RNA", at positions 524 to 776 of the family's 1533-position model. The record is from RNAcentral.
UACGGAGGGUGCGAGCGUUGUCCGGAAUCAUUGGGCGUAAAGGGCGCGUAGGUGGCCCGGUGAGUCUUUGGUGAAAGCGCGGGGCUCAACCCCGCGUCGGCCAGGGAUACUGCCGCGGCUCGAGCACUGUAGAGGCAGGCGGAAUUCCGGGUGUAGCGGUGGAAUGCGUAGAGAUCCGGAAGAACACCGGUGGCGAAGGCGGCCUGCUGGGCAGUGGCUGACGCUGAUGCGCGAAAGCCAGGGGAGCAAACGGG